AGGAGAGCAGCGUUUAUCUUAUGAGGUGUAGACAGAAGAGAACAAAGAUUGGUAUGGACAUAGUACCAAGUAUCUGAGGGACCGAAAUGGAUUCUGCCCUCCUCUGGGUUUUGAAUUUGUUAAAUUAAAAAAAAAAAAAAAAAAAAAAAAAAAGGAAAACAAAGCUUUUAUUAAAUCCAGUUCUGUGUGUGUGACUUAAAGUAUUCUUGACAGGUUUCUAAAAAGACAUGUGAAUAUAGUCAGUGGUUUCUCUUUAAAGUCUAGUAUUUCUCCUUCCAUUGAAUUGCUUAUAAAUUCUAUUAGAAGGAUUGGGGGGUAAAAGGAGUUCUUUUACUCUUAAAAGCAGAAAAUCUCCAUAUGUUUAAAUAAGUAAAUCAAGUUUAUUUUCAGCAGUGCAAUACCAUACCUACAAUUUUUACCCUAAUAAUUUGAAGCUUGGGUUUCCAGAAUUCUGAUCGUCAGGGCUAUGUCUGGCUUUACCUAUAAGCCAUAUUAUCACACCAACUAAAAUUAUGUGAAAUUCCCGUGGAGUAAGAUUCUGAAGAUUAUUUUUCUCUGGGUUAGAUUACUUAUUGCUGGUAAGAGACCUAUCGUUAUUAGGUAUUAUCAAAAGAACCAGUGGUAUAUGGAGCCAGCUCAUCCUGACCAUGAAGGUUAAUUGUGCGCAUCUCUGUCCAGCUCUGUGAUCAGUAAUGUCGGGUUGGUACCUUGAAGCUGGCAUGGUGGGAGUGGGAAAUCAGCAAAUGCUACAAAAUCCUCCCCCCUCUAGGAACCUUGAUGUUAAAUAUUACCAGCAAGCCACUAGAUAUUAUUCAAAUUACAUUCUAUCAUCACAACUUAAGGAUGGUGCCGUUGAUACCAGGAGCUCUCUAUAUAUCCGGUACAUGUUUGGCAGUGAUUUGCACUUAAAAUUUUUUUGUAAUAAAUUCUUUUGUCUUCGUUUUUUUCUUUUCAGGGCCAUACCCACAGCAUUUGGAACCCUAGCCUGGAAACCUCCAUAUGCUGAGAGUGUGGCCCUAAAAAGAAAAAAAAAAAAAAAAAAAAAAAAAAAAAAAAAAAAAAAAAAAAAAAAAUACAAAGAAUAAUAAUUUAAGAUAAUAAUAUCAUAUAAUAAUAAUAUUCUGGUUUCCAAAGUAUUAGCUAGUUGAUCAUUUUGAGUAAGUCUUAAAUGUUUCCAGUUAAUUUGAAGGAUUAUAAAAAUAUUUUUUGCCCUGCAAUUAUAUUACUUUCUCACUUGCGAUAGAUUUCAUUCAUUCACUCAACAAAUAUUUAUUAGAAACUACCGUAUUCCAGGACUGUGCUCCUGGGUAAAUAUUAAUAUGAUAGUCAACAAAGCAGACCCUUCCUCUGCUCUCAUGGUAGAUUGAAAGGACCCUGUGAAAUGAGGGUACAAAUAUGUUUUUGAUUGCACACGUUGAGAUGAGAAUCAUAAGGGCAAAGGACACUGUGCUGUGAAACUGUGGAAGAAAGGAACGCCUUGGGGAGUGAAGGCAGGCUUUUCGGAGGAAAUCGUGUUUGAGCUGAGAGCAAGGUGUUGGCUGGGUGAUAAGGAGGGAGGACAUUCCAGAAGAACCAGCAUGUACAAAUACCCUGAGUGAAGAAACUGCUUGUAUAAAGAAAGUAACAGCAAUACAUUACAACCCAAUUUACUGUCAAUAUUUAGAGCCCAGUAAAUCUCAUGUCUUUGAGUAAAUUGUUAAUCACUGAGAAGCACGUAGCUUUUAGGCCACCUAUGUGGCCCCAGAGACUAAAGAUCUGUGCCACCUUUUCCUUCUUAGGGGAGACCAGUGAAAGAAAAUCUUUCAAAACUGUUUAUUUUAGUUAGGAGCAAAGACACUCCUCUGCAUUAGAGGAUAUUUAAAUUACGCAAUCCCCUGGAUACUUUAAGCAUCAACUUACUAUUAAGGGGGAAAAGGAUCAAAAUUAUUGACUCAAAAUUCCCCUGGUGUUCAUUCCGCUUCUAUAUUCCUUGGCCUGUGAAAAUAGCCCAAGGGCUAUGCCCUCUUAUCUCUCUCCAUCUCAAUUCCUCUCUCUUUGGGGUUGGAAAUAAGCUUACAGCUUGACAUGCCUACAGAAUAAAAGGUCUU
RNAcentral lists this long non-coding RNA (2087 nucleotides) under Sus scrofa (pig). RNAcentral's name for it is "lncRNA (ENSSSCG00045025305.1)". Lineage: Eukaryota; Metazoa; Chordata; Mammalia; Artiodactyla; Suidae. The record is from RNAcentral.